CCAAAUCAAAUUUUUGGGGAAAAUCAGCUCUGGAUCACCCUUUCUCUCCUCUCUUCCUCAUCCGUUCUUAGUCAAAUCAGUCCUCUCUCUCCUUUCUCACCCUUUCUAUCUCCUUUCUCGGUUGAUCGUUCUCAUCUGGUCGCCUUCUCAGACGAUCGUUCCCUUCCGGUCAAAUUUGCCCUCCAGUCGAUUCUUCUCAUCUGGUCGUGUGUGCGCUGCCGACAAGUGGCCCUCCGGUAGUGAAUCGUACGGCUGGAGGUGAUUCCCUAUUUCCCUCUAUUUCUCUCGCUCAUUACGCGACUAUAUUGACUGUACAUAGAAG
Molecule: long non-coding RNA, 322 nt
Filed under: Panax ginseng (ginseng)
Lineage: Eukaryota; Viridiplantae; Streptophyta; Magnoliopsida; Apiales; Araliaceae
Description: long non-coding RNA (PGIN_LNC018571)
Source: RNAcentral